GGAGGCCUAGCCGCCCGCCCUGGGGCGGAACGCGCGGGCGCGGGAGCCUUGGAUACCGGUUACAGAGGCAGGCGGUGUCCGCGGGGUGCGGCGGGGACAGGGUAUCCCCUGCCUGCACGCUCCGGGCCCGCCGCCGAGCUUCGGCGGCCCUGGGCCUGGAUCCCUGGUCUUUUGUUGGGUUUCCUGUCUGGUGCCCACGCCUCAGCAAAGGCGAGAGAAAGCUAGCUUUGUGUUGGUGUGGUAAGAAGAGACAUCUGGCCUCCCCGGGAGGCCGGAGGGAUGAGGGUUGCAGACUGAGCCCCACCCGGCCUGUGAGGAGCUUUAUCAAACAAACCCCAUUUACAGGCGCUCGCAAUUCUGUUUCGAAAAAGAAAGGCUUAAUUAUCAGGCGGCAACAUUUCUGUGACAGAAACAGACAAGCCCAGUUCUGCUGCUUCCUAUUGUGCCUAAGCAAACUGGUUUACCAUUCUGAGCUUCAGUUUCCUCUCUGAUGAAAUGCCUGGAAUGUGCACGUGAUGGUAGGAGGUUGACCAGCUGUCCUGGACCAUGAGACAAUCUUGAGGAUGGAAGCCUGCACUAAGAUGAUAUAGUAAAAGAUGAUUGAUUGGACUUCCCUGGUGGCACAGUGGUUAAGAAUUCUCCUGCCAAUGCAGGGGACAUGGGUUUCAGCCCUGGUCUGGGAAGAUCCCACAUGCCACGGAGCAACUAAGCCUGUGCGCCACAACUACUGAGCCUGUGCUCUAGAGCCCGCAAGCCACAACUACUGAGCCCGCACGCCACAGCUACUGAAGCCCACGUGCCUAGAGCCCAUGCUCCACAACAAGAGAAGUCACUGCAAUGAGAAGCCUGUGCACCGCAAGGAAGAAUAGCCCCCAUUCACUGCAACUAGAGAAAGCCUGUGUGUAGCAACAAAGACCCAAAGCAGCCAAAAAUAAAUAAGUUUAUUUAAAAAAAGAUGAUUGUAUAAGGAUUGUCAUUAUAGCAUUGUUUGCAUUUGUAAAAUGCUGGAACCAAUAUAAAUAUGCUUCAAUAGGGGACAGGUUAAUGAAAAUACUAUUCAGUCUUACAAUGGAAUACUAUGCAGGGACCAAAAAGAAUGAGUUAGAUCUAUAUAUACUAAUAUGGAAAGAUGUCUGAGAUUUAUUCAUUCAUUCAUCCAUCCAUUCAUUCAUUCAUUUAAGUGUUUGUUGAGGGUGUACCAUGGCUCUCUUUUAGGCUCCAGGAUACAGCAGGGAACAAAACAAAGUUCCUAGGCUCAUGGAUUUGCUUUCUAGGGAGAAAUAUGGAUAAUAGGCAAGCUAAGAAAUAAAUACGUAGUAUGAAAGAUCCAUGAAGAAAAAUGAAUCAGGAUAUGGAGGAUGAAGAGUGAUUGGGGCAUUACUUUAUAUUGGGUGGUCAGAGGAGGUUUCUCUGAUGAGGUAGCCAAAUGGCUGCUGCAGUUUUGAGUCUCAAAUCUAUAUGUCAUUGGACAUUUAACCCAGAGAAAUGAAAACUUAACAUUCACACCAAAAGUUUGCAUAAAGCAUUAUUCAUAAUAGCCAAACUUGGAAACAGUCUUCAAUAAUGAGUGGUUAAACAAAUUGUGGCACAUCCGUAUCAUGGAAUACUUUUCAGCAAUGAAAAGGAAUGAACUAUUGAAAUACACAACUUGGAUGGAUCUCAAGGGAAUUAUACUGAGUCAAGAAGGUCAGUCUCAAAAUGUUAUAUUCUGUAUGAUUCCAUUUAUAGCAUUCUUGAAGUGACAAAAUGAUAGAUAUAGAGAACAGAGUAGUGGUUUAUGGUUUAUUGAGAAGGGGGAAAGGAGGUGUCUGUGGCUAUAAAAGGGAUCCUUGUGAUGGAAGAGUUCUGUAUCUUAACUGUGGUGUUAAUCACAUGUGAUAUCUACACAUGAUGAAACUUCAUAGAACUAAAUACACACACACACACACAAGUGCAUAUAAAAACAAGUGAAAUCUGAAUAAGGUUGGUGGAUGAUAUCAAUGUCAAUUUCCUGAUUGUGUACUAUGCUUAUGUAAGAUAGUUAAUAUUGGAGGAGAUUAGGUGAAGAGUAUACUGGGUUUCUAUUAUUCUUACAACUAUAUGUGAAUCUACAAUAAUCUCAGAAUAAAAAGUUUUAAAAAUUUUCUGCA
Molecule: long non-coding RNA, 2129 nt
Organism: Orcinus orca (killer whale)
Lineage: Eukaryota; Metazoa; Chordata; Mammalia; Artiodactyla; Delphinidae
Exons: 3
Source: RefSeq, a predicted model, not a curated record